Molecule: ribosomal RNA, 317 nt
Filed under: Pycnogonum gaini
Lineage: Eukaryota; Metazoa; Arthropoda; Pycnogonida; Pantopoda; Pycnogonidae
Description: partial 12S ribosomal RNA
Source: RNAcentral
UUAUGUUCUUGAAACUUAAAAGAUUUGGCGGUAAAUAUAUUUAUUAGAGGAACUUGUAUAUUAAUAGAUAUUACUCUUUUAACUCAUCCUUAUUUUUUUUUAUUAGUAUAUCGUUGUUUAGAAAUUUUUUAUUGAAUUAAUUUUCUUUUUCUGUUUUAAAUAAAAUCAAAUCAAGGUGCUAUUAUAAUAAGGUUUAUAUGUGUUACAUUUAAUUUAUUAAUUUUGGCUUAUAUUUUUCAAUAUUUAUAUAAAAUUGGAUUUAAUUGUAAAUUAUAUAUUAAUAUGUUUAAUUGAUAAAAUUCUUAUUUGUGUACACA